GCUAAACACUUUGUACUUGGGUAAAAAUCAACUUUCUGGUUUGAUUCCUAAGGAGAUAGGAAACUUGAAAUCUCUUGUAGAUCUAGAGUUGUCCUACAACAAUUUAAGUGGUCUCAUCCCUCCAAAUAUUGGUAACUUAAUAAACCUAAACACUUUGUCCUUGGGUAAAAAUCAACUUUCUGGUUUGAUUCCUAUGGAGAUAGGAAACUUGAAAUCUCUUGUAAAUCUAUUGUUGUCCUACAACAAUUUAAGUGGUCUCAUCCCUCCAAAUAUUGGUAACUUAAUAAACCUAAACACUUUGUACUUGCAUUCCAAUCAACUUUCUGGUUUGAUUCCUGAGGAGAUAGGAAACUUGAAAUCUCUUGUAGAUCUAGAGUUGUCCAACAACAGUUUAAGUGGUCUCAUCCCUCCAAAUAUUGGUAACUUAAUAAAGCUAAAUACUUUGUACUUGGAUAACAAUCAACUUUCUGGUUUGAUUCCUAAGGAGAUAGGAAACUUGAAAUCUCUUGUAGAUCUAAAGUUGUCCUACAACAAUUUAAGUGGUCUCAUCCCUCCAAAUAUUGGUAACUUAACAAACCUAAACACUUUGCACUUAGGUAAAAAUCAACUUUUUGGUUUGAUUCCCAAAGAGAUAGGGAACUUGAAAUCUCUUGUAGAUCUAGAGUUGGCCGAGAAUCAACUCAACGAUUCAAUUCCAGCCUCAUUUGCCAACUUGAGCAACUUGG
Molecule: long non-coding RNA, 725 nt
Filed under: Prunus persica (peach)
Lineage: Eukaryota; Viridiplantae; Streptophyta; Magnoliopsida; Rosales; Rosaceae
Description: long non-coding RNA (PPER_LNC003695)
Source: RNAcentral